RNAcentral lists this ribosomal RNA (425 nucleotides) under uncultured Ethanoligenens sp. RNAcentral's name for it is "bacterial SSU rRNA". It matches the Rfam family "Bacterial small subunit ribosomal RNA", at positions 355 to 794 of the family's 1533-position model. Lineage: Bacteria; Bacillati; Bacillota; Clostridia; Eubacteriales; Oscillospiraceae. The record is from RNAcentral.
UGGGGGAUAUUGCACAAUGGAGGAAACUCUGAUGCAGCAACGCCGCGUGAGGGAAGAAGGUUUUCGGAUUGUAAACCUCUGUUUUUAGUGACGAAGAAAAUGACGGUAGCUAAAGAGGAAGCCACGGCUAACUACGUGCCAGCAGCCGCGGUAAUACGUAGGUGGCAAGCGUUGUCCGGAAUUACUGGGUGUAAAGGGUGCGCAGGCGGGACUGCAAGUUGGAUGUGAAAUACCGAGGCUUAACCUCGGAGCUGCAUCCAAAACUGUGGUUCUUGAGUGGAGUAGAGGUAAGCGGAAUUCCGAGUGUAGCGGUGAAAUGCGUAGAUAUUCGGAGGAACACCAGUGGCGAAGGCGGCUUACUGGGCUCUAACUGACGCUGAGGCACGAAAGCAUGGGUAGCAAACAGGAUUAGAUACCCUGGUAGU